AUACGGAGGGGGUUAGCGUUGUUCGGAAUUACUGGGCGUAAAGCGCACGUAGGCGGACUGGAAAGUUGGGGGUGAAAUCUCGGGGCUCAACCCCGGAACUGCCUCCAAAACUUCCAAUCUAGAGAUCGAGAGAGGUGAGUGGAAUUCCAAGUGUAGAGGUGAAAUUCGUAGAUAUUUGGAGGAGCACCAGUGGCGAAGGCGGCUCACUGGCUCGAUACUGACGCUGAGGUGCGAAAGCGUGGGGAGCAAACAGGAUUAGAAACCCUAGUAGUCC
RNAcentral lists this ribosomal RNA (274 nucleotides) under uncultured bacterium. Its description in RNAcentral is "partial 16S ribosomal RNA". It matches the Rfam family "Bacterial small subunit ribosomal RNA", at positions 523 to 796 of the family's 1533-position model. The record is from RNAcentral.